This 429-nucleotide ribosomal RNA is filed under the name Chloroflexota bacterium. Its description in RNAcentral is "Chloroflexi bacterium partial 16S ribosomal RNA". It matches the Rfam family "Bacterial small subunit ribosomal RNA", at positions 355 to 776 of the family's 1533-position model. The record is from RNAcentral. Lineage: Bacteria; Bacillati; Chloroflexota.
UGGGGAAUAUUGCACAAUGGGCGCAAGCCUGAUGCAGCCAUGCCGCGUGUAUGAAGAAGGCCUUCGGGUUGUAAAGUACUUUCAGCGGGGAGGAAGGGAGUAAAGUUAAUACCUUUACUCAUUGACGUUACCCGCAGAAGAAGCACCGGCUAACUCCGUGCCAGCAGCCGCGGUAAUACGGAGGGUGCAAGCGUUAAUCGGAAUUACUGGGCGUAAAGCGCACGCAGGCGGUUUGUUAAGUCAGUUGUGAAAUCCCCGGGCUCAACCUGGGAACUGCAUCUGAUACUGGCAAGCUUGAGUCUCGUAGAGGGGGGUAGAAUUCCAGGUGUAGCGGUGAAAUGCGUAGAGAUCUGGAGGAAUACCGGUGGCGAAGGCGGCCCCCUGGACGAAGACUGACGCUCAGGUGCGAAAGCGUGGGGAGCAAACAGG